Molecule: non-coding RNA, 3287 nt
Organism: Cricetulus griseus (Chinese hamster)
Lineage: Eukaryota; Metazoa; Chordata; Mammalia; Rodentia; Cricetidae
Source: RefSeq, a predicted model, not a curated record
CUGAGAUCCCAGCACUUGGAAGCAGGGUGGAGGAGGUAGGAGGAUUGAGUGUUUGAGGUCAGCCUGAGUCACAAAUUGAAACUCAGGGGGAGAGAUGUGCAGAAAGGGAAGAAGGAAAAAAAAGAGGGGAAAAGGUUACUCCGCUCUUCCAGAAGGUACUCUCAUCUUAGCCUGCCUUGGAAUGACUUAUUGUCAAUGCUGCACAGUAAUGGGCUCUUUCCCGGAGUUUUCAAGGGCAGAAUUCUUAGCCAGGAGCCACGUGUAGUCACUUUACCAUCCAUUUUCUUUGUAUUUCAAGACACUUGGGUUCCAAUUUUAGUUCCAAGCCUCUGUUUCUUCGCAUAACAAAUGGACCAAAUGAUAUUCACUCCACGAAUUUAUGCGACCAGGAGAGAUUCGCGCCAGAAAGCAGCAGGGGAGCCGUUGCCUUGACCCACCGGGGCCUCCAGCCCCUCCCCGCCAGACGCAGGCUAAUGCGAUACAGACGUCUCCUUCCCCGCAUGGCUCUCCCACCCGCCGCCCCUCUCCAGACGGACAUCGCUCUUCCGAAGUCAUAUUUUGGAGGUCAUCAGGCCACUUUUCCGCGGACCCAGGGAGAGGCCUGCACCUCGGGACUUCCUAGCUACCCAGGGGGUAUUGUAUUCACCACCGGCAGAAGCCAACUUCAAAGGGGCAUCAGGCGGGGCUUCUCACUCAUAUCGAUGGUACAACAGUGACCUCCAGUGGUUGAGCCAGGAGACAAAAAAAAAAAAAAACCUGCAAUGUCUCAAAACAAUCCAGUCCUAGGAAGACAGUCUACAAUGUAAUAGGAUUUCCUAGAAAUCCUGUGUACAGCAUCUAAAAAAUCAACAACGACGACAAUGAUGGCCCCCAAAGUUGCUGAAUCUAAGAACCCCAGCAGAUGUGGCCAGUGGAAAGUCUCCAGAAUACAGUGCACAUGGAACUCUAAGGAACUGAGCACCGCUGCCUAUAAUUUGGGACAAUGUCUUCACCUCUUAAUCCACUCCAGACCACCACCACCACCACUCCAGUCCCCAAGUAGCUUGUAUUAAUUCCUCUGUUAGAAAUGACCUCUUGAUUUCUCUGCCCGAUAACAUCUUGUUAUGAUGUCAGAUGAAAGCUGGUCACUAGAGGACAUGUUCAAGAUCGUCCCUCCUAGCAGAAUUAACAUAUAGUAUCAAGGACAUCAAUACUGCUGUAUGUGUUUGACUUAAGAAGCAACAUGAUACAGCACUGUUAUAGGGACCUACUAUGCUCUGAGUUCUAGGUAAAGGCUGAAAGGUAUGGAAUGUAAGUCACCUUUUUUGUUUUUGUUUUUGUUUUUGUUUUGUUUUGUUUUUUAGCACUGUAACAAAACACCUGAGGAAACGACAUAAGAAAGGAAGGAUUUUAAUUUUUAGAUCUAUUCAGAUAUAUGUAUGCAGAUUUAGAUCUUUCUGUCCACUGUCAUUGGUAUCUGUUGCUUCUGGAUUAGGGUGCAGUGAUGCAGAACAUUGGGACAAAGAGCAAAGUGACCCUCCUCAUGGCAGACAGGAGGUGGAGAUGGGAAGAACCCAAUAGGAUCAAGAUAACAUCCUCCUAAAGGAUGGCCCCAGGGACCUACUUCCUCCAGUGAGGCCCUACUUCCUGAUAAAGCCAUUAAAUUAUGAGUUCAUGCCAUCGACUAACCUACAGAUUAGGUCAGAGCCCUCAUGAGCCAACCAUUUCCCCAAAGCUCAAUUGCUGAAUGUUGCAGUGAGGACAUUGAUGAGGGAUGCACUUCACAUGCAAAUUAUACUAAUUACUGAGCUCUGAGUGUUGCAGACCAGUGGGGUGUGCACAGGGAAACAACUGCUACCAAAUGUGGUAAGGAAUUCUGCAUUUGUCUCAAGUGGAAGUCAUCACUCUGGUCUUCAAAGAACUGCAAUCGAGGGGCUGUCUGAAUAAAUGAAGGGGCUUUGGUUGGGGCUUUGUGGGUUGAAUAGGAGUUAAUGAGGCAGGUAGAAUGAUUUAAGAUGGAAAAGAAGAGAUGAUGCACAUUUGGGGUAUGACAUAACUACCUAGAAGUGAGUGUGUCGAGACAAGGAGCCAUCUACACCGGCCCACACUGACUGGGUUAUUUAUCAUUGGCUGUUGCACAGCCUAGAGAUACAAGGCUGAAACAUAACUGAGACCAGGAAAGAGGACCUUCCAAACUGUAGGCUAUGGAAAUCAGAGUCUUCAAUGAUUGCUGAACUGAAACAAUAUUUAGGGAGAAUAACCUCACACAUAAACUAGAAUAGCAUACAGCACAAGCUAAAAUCAAAUCAGGUUUCUGUCCAUUAGUGGUCCUCAGACCACAGGGGUAUGGGCUGAUCAAAUCUCACCUGCAGGGGUUAAGAUCAGUCACUGAGCCAGUGAACAAACAGGUCAGGCACAAAACAGAAGACAAAAACACAAGAGGGGCAGCUGCCCAGCUGCAGUUGUCAAUGGAGACAUAUGUCAACAUUACAGGAAAUGAGACGGCCCAACAGGAGAGUGGAGAUGUCAAACUGUAUCUUUGUGAACUGCAUCUUGCCAGAUCAUGACUGAUUUUUGAAUGUCCUCACUGUUGAGAGGAAAUCUGGUGAAAAUGCUCAGGUCUAUCUCUGAGAUCCGGGAAGCCUCAGAGGGACCAGUGGGGCCCCACUCUCCAUUAAACCCACAUCCUGAGUAGCUGGGAGAUGACAGCCUGUUUGUUCUUCAGCCUCAGAUAAUAAAUACUGGCCAGAUUUGCUGGAAUCUGGCCGUUCUGGGUAACUUAUCAUGAAUAAAGAGAAAUAUGCCCCUUCAGGGGACUCAUUGAUGGCUGAGGUGGACAAUAGCUUAAGCCAUGUGGCUGUGCAUUAUACAAUCCCAGGAAUGCAGGAAAUUUAUCUACAGCAGGUCGUGCAUGGUGUGAGGAAAAUUGGCAACCUGCUGUAGAGGGUACAAGGAUCUCCAUCCAGGCCCCCAGUGAGAGUUGCUGGUCUGCACUGUGAUAAACACAGCAUGGGGGACCUUUCUGCUUACUGACACAAUCCUCCCAUUAGAAAAUAAUCUCCCUGAGGAGUCUCCCUGAGCACCGAGCCUGGACUCUGCACCCAAAAAGCCCUGGCUGAAUCAGAGAACAGUGAGCACCUCCAGGAUGAAGAACUAGGAAGUCCCUGAAGAUGCCUGAAGAUUGGCAGGAGUCGCAGAACAUUCCAUGCUUCUCAGACAUGCCCUUUUAUCUUCGUAUUAAUACUGUUUACAUGGGUAUUAGAAAGAAUGUGAAAUUGGGAAACAGAUAAAAGUGGUUUUGAAUUCUG